Molecule: long non-coding RNA, 3029 nt
Organism: Perognathus longimembris pacificus (Pacific pocket mouse)
Lineage: Eukaryota; Metazoa; Chordata; Mammalia; Rodentia; Heteromyidae
Exons: 3
Source: RefSeq, a predicted model, not a curated record
AGUCCAACACUGUGGCUGGUUCAUGAUGAUUGCUUCAAGGUAUAUAUGGUUUCUGAAAACAGCCAAUACAAAUUUUGAAGAAAAACCUGCCACUGUGCUGCUAGUGUCAGACACAAACUCUGCUAUAAGGAGAUCUAGAACUUGAUGUGUAUUGCUGGCAGGUGUGAGCCAGAGGUUCAGGGGAAGCACUGACCAUAACAGCUGGGGGUGAACAGCUUGCAGAGGGGACCCAAACAGCAGGUAGGAAGCGGUGACAGAGCGGAACCACCACAGCAAAUAUAAACCACAGCUGAGGGGGACCAGGGGGGCCACAAAAGUGCCUGUGAGGCCCAGGCUGAGGGGACACAUGGUCACACUGGCAGGUGUGGACAGCACAUGGUCAGCACAGCAGGUGAGGACCAGGAGCUAAGAGGGAGGAAGGAGCAACUGUUAGCAGCUGGCUGAGGACACCAAACAGCUGUAACAACAGGGAUGAGCCAGCUGGCUGAGGAGAAUCAAUGACCAUGAUGGCAGGUGUGAACAGCUGGCUGCUGGGAACCACAUGGUCAGGGCAGCGAGUAGAACCACAGGCUGAGGAGACACCACACCCCACCACACCCCACCCCACCACACCUCGAUCAUGUAAACGAGGGUCUGAAGGGGCCAGUGGCUCCUGAGUCCCGGGCUCAUAGCACGGCAGACAGACACUGCUGCCCCAACCCCACAGUCUGGUUGAAUCCAGGGAGCUUUUGAUACCAGCCAGAAAGACCUCCACCCAUCUCCACAUUUCAUUGAUUAUGUGGCAAAAAGAACGAGACGUGUCUCUGGAGCGCCUGGCACGGUGGAGGGAAAUUGCCUUUACAAGCAGCAUUAUCUCCACAUCAGGUAGCAUCUUGUAGCCACGUUCCGCUGGGCAGACACCACACAUUCAGUGGAAACAUGACUGGGCAGAACGGGGAUCUCCUGCCAGCUGGCCCACCCAGGUUAAGCUUGCGCGCCUUGCUGUCUCUUACACAUUCUUCACCGUCCUAAAGGCACUGUGACAGGGCAUUAAGCUGGCAAGGGAGUCAGGGUCCAGUGUGUACCCAGCAAUUAAUGUGCUAAGUGACACUGGGCAAGUCAUUGAAAUGAGGGGAAUCGGUGAGCUUAAGCCUCUCUGGCAAGGUUCUAUGGUCUCCUGCUUCUGCACAUCUAACUCAAAUGAAAAUGAACGAGGUCACAGACAUGAUCUGAUUUUGUCUUGUUUCACCAGUUGAUCGCAAGGCCCAUGACACAUACCAUUUAAACAGCCAUAUAUAUGCAGUAUCACCAUGUCCUUCUAGGACACAAAGACAGGCCAGGCUUCUAAUGCCAUCCUGCCUUCCCCAAACAUGCCCACCUCACAAACCACACUGUGCAAAAGGAUGGAAGUGAAUGUCGCAUCACAGCAAAAUAGCUCAGAACCCCUGGUUCUAUAUAGCUGACCGCAGGGCAAUUCCCACAAUACAGACCUUGUAAUCCAAGAGGACCUAUAAAGUCAUGCAAAGUUAUGGAUGGAAAGAGCUGGAGAUCACACAGAAUGCAGACAUGACAUCCAGUAAGGCAGACUUUGGGGUGGCCCUUGUGGAAGGUCUCCUUGGCUCUCUUAUCAAUCCUCAUUUCUGCUGCCUGCAGCCUCAUUCUAGCAGAGAUCUGGAAUCUACUUGUCCCCAUCCUGCCCACACCCAGGCUGGCCCAGCUGAAGGGUCCAAAGGGACCUACUGUGGGGCCCACUGGCCUGGGCUCCUUCCUCAUCAGGCCUCUGGCUCCAAAUCUUGUUUUUACUAGAAACCAAGUUCUCAGUCCUGCCCUUCCAAGAACUGUAGACUCUACCUUCUGGCUAUGGCUGAUGUCCAGUGCAGAAAUGUGUACAGGUCACUGGGCUUCUGGCUAUGGCUGAUGUCCAGUGCAGAGUGAACAGGACAGCCAGAGGGGAGGGCUGACAGCAGACUGAGGAGGAGGUAGAAGGCAGAGGCUAGGGCAGAGGGACCUCUGCAGAUGCCUAGGAAGUGUUUCAGAGACGACCAUCUUCCUUCAGCCUGUGCUUCUCACAAAGAGAAGACCUGACUUCCUGGGUCACAGGGAACGGAAGCCAUCACUGACAGCACUUAGGACUUGCCAACUUCAAAGCCAUGUUGAACUACAUCCAGAUGGGUCCUUCCCCCAGAAGAGGUGUCCUGCCUCCUCCUAAGGCUCAAGUGGGCACCUGAGCUCAGCAGCCUGCCACGCCCUCCCCCCCCCCCCCCCCCGUAGGCUGUCCUCUCUUCAGUGCCAUCUGUGUGGGCUCUCCUUCCUCCCCUACCCCUCCCCAAACCGCUCUCUCUCCAGAGCCCCUGACCUGCUGCAAUUGUUCCCUUCCUGCUCUCCUCACCAACAGCCAACUUUAAAUACAGUUUAGUAGGUUAUUUAAUUAGUCGCAAUUUUUUGGCUCAAUUUAAAAUCACUGAAAACAUUAACAAAAUAAGCAAUAUUUUUAACUUCUUUUCGCUAAACCCAAUACAUUUCACUUAUCUUUCUGGGGGGGACGGGUGUCUUGGAGCAGCCACACCCCUUCCGCCUCCAGGCCAUACCCCUUUCACCACCUGGUCUUCCCGGGACUUGUGACAGGAUACUCUCUGGAGGCUUUAAGCCUAUCUCUGUGGCCACUCCCCUCCCAUCUUCUCUGAGGGUCCCCCUCUUCACCUGCAGGCUUUUCCUGAGACGCUCACACACGGGCACUCACUGCCCUCUGGACUGGGCCAGUUUGGCUCUUCCUGUCCUAGCCCAACAUACCCAGUGACCCUCUGUCCACCGGCCCUGGUACUCCAGACCUGUGAGUCCACUGCCUUUGGGCACAUCUACAUUCCUAACCCACAAGCAGCCCAAAAGUAGGCCCACUUGUCCUCACCCCUAAACCAACGCCUUCAUGUGUUUCCUAUUGGUGAUCAGCACCACCAAGGCUCCAGCGGCUGGAGCCGGAAGCUUCCUGGGUACCAUCCUCCUUUCCUUCUCCUUUCCUUCUCCUUUCCUUAUCCAAGGGCUAGAGGCCAAAA